Molecule: ribosomal RNA, 180 nt
Filed under: uncultured bacterium
Lineage: Bacteria
Description: partial 16S ribosomal RNA
Rfam family: Bacterial small subunit ribosomal RNA
Source: RNAcentral
CGACUCCGUGAAGCUGGAUUCGCUAGUAAUCGCGCAUCAGCCAUGGCGCGGUGAAUACGUUCCCGGGCCUUGUACACACCGCCCGUCAAGCCAUGGAAGCCGGGGGCGCUUGAAGUGCGUUGCCGCAAGGCGCGCCCUAGAGCGAAACCGGUGACUGGGGCUAAGUCGUAACAAGGUAUC